This 545-nucleotide ribosomal RNA is filed under the name uncultured bacterium. RNAcentral describes it as "bacterial SSU rRNA". It matches the Rfam family "Bacterial small subunit ribosomal RNA", at positions 777 to 1320 of the family's 1533-position model. The record is from RNAcentral.
AAUAGAUACCCAGGUAGUCCACCCCGUAAACGUUGGGAACUAGUUGUGGGGUCCUUUCCACGGAUUCCGUGACGCAGCUAACGCAUUAAGUUCCCCGCCUGGGGAGUACGGCCGCAAGGCUAAAACUCAAAGGAAUUGACGGGGACCCGCACAAGCGGCGGAGCAUGCGGAUUAAUUCGAUGCAACGCGAAGAACCUUACCAAGGCUUGACAUACACCAGAACACCCUAGAAAUAGGGGACUCUUUGGACACUGGUGAACAGGUGGUGCAUGGUUGUCGUCAGCUCGUGUCGUGAGACGUUGGGUUAAGUCCCGCAACGAGCGCAAUCCUCGUUCUAUGUUGCCAGCACGUAAUGGUGGGAACUCAUGGGAUACUGCCGGGGUCAACUCGGAGGAAGGUGGGGAUGACGUCAAAUCAUCAUGCCCCUUAUGUCUUGGGCUUCACGCAUGCUACAAUGGCCGGUACAAAGGGCUGCAAUACCGUGAGGUGGAGCGAAUCCCAAAAAGCCGGUCCCAGUUCGGAUUGAGGUCUGCAACUCGACCUCA